GUAGGGUGCAGGCGUUAAUCGGAAUUACUGGGCGUAAAGCGUGCGCAGGCGGCUCCCUAAGUCAGAUGUGAAAGCCCCGGGCUUAACCUGGGAACUGCGUUUGAAACUGGGGAGCUAGAGUGUGGAAGAGGGGGGUGGAAUUCCAUGUGUAGCAGUGAAAUGCGUAGAGAUAUGGAGGAACACCGAUGGCGAAGGCAGCCCCCUGGGCUAACACUGACGCUCAUGCACGAAAGCGUGGGGAGCAAACAGGAUUAGAUACCCUGGUAGUCCACGCCCUAAACGAUGUCAACUGGUUGUCGGGGAAGCAAUUCCUUGGUAACGAAGCUAACGCGUGAAGUUGACCGCCUGGGGAGUACGGCCGCAAGGCUUAA
RNAcentral lists this ribosomal RNA (371 nucleotides) under uncultured bacterium. RNAcentral's name for it is "bacterial SSU rRNA". It matches the Rfam family "Bacterial small subunit ribosomal RNA", at positions 527 to 898 of the family's 1533-position model. The record is from RNAcentral.